This 288-nucleotide signal recognition particle RNA is filed under the name Phascolarctos cinereus (koala). RNAcentral's name for it is "Metazoan signal recognition particle RNA (ENSPCIG00000017000.2)". It matches the Rfam family "Metazoan signal recognition particle RNA". From Rfam's summary of the family: The signal recognition particle (SRP) is a universally conserved ribonucleoprotein. It is involved in the co-translational targeting of proteins to membranes. The record is from RNAcentral. Lineage: Eukaryota; Metazoa; Chordata; Mammalia; Diprotodontia; Phascolarctidae.
UAUUGGUGGUACACACCUGUAAUCCCCUGCUAUAAGGGAUGCUGAGGCUGGUGGGUCGCCUGAGUUUGGGAGUUUUAUGCUGCAGUGGGGCUUAAGCCAAUCUGGUGAAGUCACUAAGGCUGGCACCAGUAUGGUGAGCCAUGGGCCACUAGGUUGCCUAAGGAGGAGUGAACCAGCCAAGAUUGCAAACAAAACAGGUUAAAGCUUUUUUUGCUGAUUAGUAGUGGAAUUGUGCCUGUGAGUAACCACCAUAAUCCAGCCUGAGCAAGAUAGGGAAAGCUAGUCUCA